AGCUAACGGAUGUGGCAUGGGGCGGGGGACCAGGCCGGAGGCGGGCUGCCGGGAGGGGGGAUUCCCUCGUGCCCCAAGGGCGAAUCUCAGGUCGGAGGAAGGGGCUGAGGGGAUUCCCUCUCCCACCGGGUCCGACUCUUCGCUCCCCAAGCCGCGGAGGGCCAGCCUCUUCUUCGGCGCCCUCCAGGCCUGUUGGAGGUGAGGGAGGUGGGGUGAGGUGGUGCCCGCCCCCCCCUCCGGCUCCUCCUUUCCCCCAGUCCUCCCCUCCCACCACCCUCCCCCCCAACCGGUCCGUCCCUCCCCUCCCUCCCUCCCCCCCGCCGCCUCCUCCUCCUGCCGCUGCCGCUGCUUUGGCUGCUGCGUCAUACGCCCCAGAGCCGCCGGGACGGAGGGGCUGGGCCUGGGGACCCCCCGGCCUCCGCCUGCACGCCCCCCCACGCCCGGACGUGCCCUCUCCGCGCGGGGGACUCGCCUAGGUCUCCUACGUCUGCCCCUGCCCGGCUCCCGGCGGCCCCAGCUGUCACCG
This 526-nucleotide small RNA is filed under the name Homo sapiens (human). RNAcentral's name for it is "PHD finger protein 1 (ENSG00000239756.5)". The record is from RNAcentral. Lineage: Eukaryota; Metazoa; Chordata; Mammalia; Primates; Hominidae.